RNAcentral lists this ribosomal RNA (468 nucleotides) under uncultured bacterium. RNAcentral's name for it is "partial 16S ribosomal RNA". It matches the Rfam family "Bacterial small subunit ribosomal RNA", at positions 28 to 507 of the family's 1533-position model. The record is from RNAcentral.
GACGAACGCUGGCGACAUGCUUAACACAUGCAAGUCGAACGGAAACGCCAUGCUUUUGUGGCUUGCUCGAGUGGCGAACGGGUGAGUAACACGUUAGUAACCUGCCCUUGACUUUACCAUAACUUCAUAACACUGCGGCUAAUACCGUAUAAGAGCUCCUGCUGCCUGGUGGGCGUUGGAAAGUUUCGGCGGAUGGGGCUGGACUCGCGGCUUAUCAGCUUGGUGGUGGGGUAGUGGCUUACCCAGGCGUUGACGGGUAGCCGGCCUGAGAGUGUGACCGGACACACUGGGACUGAGAUACGGCCCAGACUCCUACGGGAGGCAGCAGUGGGGAAUAUUGCACUAUGGGCGGAAGCCUGAUGCAGGAACGCCGCGUGCGGGAUGACGGCCUUCGGGUUGUAAACCGAUUUCGCCUGUGACGAAGCGUGAGUGGCGGGAAUGGGUAAAGAAGCACCGGCUAACUACGGG